Molecule: non-coding RNA, 719 nt
Filed under: Podulmorinus opacus
Lineage: Eukaryota; Metazoa; Arthropoda; Insecta; Hemiptera; Cicadellidae
Source: RNAcentral
UUAAUUUAUUAAAUGAUUUAUAUGUAAUUUUGUAAAUAUUUUAUUAUACAGUAAAUAUAAUUGUGUUAGUUAAUUAUUAUUAAUCUGCAGUAAUUUAAUUGUAAUGGAUAAAUUUUGUGCCAGCAUUCGCGGUUAUACAAUUCAUUAAAAUUAAUAUUUUAUUUUUAUUAAUUAUUUAUAAGUUGAUUAGUAGUUAAUUUUAUUUAGGUGGAAUUUAUAUUAUUUAUUUUAAUCUAUAUUUAAGUUUAUUAAAUCAAGAUUUUAAACUAGGAUUAGAUACCCUAUUAUUUUUGUACCUAAUACUUAUUGUUGAAUAUUAAUAGGUAUGUUCUAUUAAACUCAAAGAAUUUGGCGGUAAUUUAUAUCUUUUUAGAGGAACCUGUAAUUUAAUUGAUAAACCACGAUAUUUUUUACCUUUAUAUUAUUUGUAUACCUCUAUAAUUAAGAGUGUUAUUUAAAUAUAUUUUCUUUAAUUUUAUUAAUUUAUAUUAGGUCAAGGUGCAGUUUUUUGAAGGUAAUUUUGGGUUACAUUAAUAUUAAAAUUUAGAUUGGAUAUUGUUCCUUUCUUUAGGAGUAUGUUGAAAUAGGAUUUAAUAGUAAUGUUGUAUAAUUAUUCAUCUUGAAUUUAGUUUUAAUUUAUGUACAUAUCGCCCGUCACUCUCUUUAAAAUGGGAUAAGUCGUAACAAAGUAGGUGUACCGGAAGGUGCAGCUAGAAAGU